This 402-nucleotide ribosomal RNA is filed under the name uncultured bacterium. Its description in RNAcentral is "bacterial SSU rRNA". It matches the Rfam family "Bacterial small subunit ribosomal RNA", at positions 355 to 774 of the family's 1533-position model. The record is from RNAcentral.
UGGGGAAUAUUGGACAAUGGGCGCAAGCCUGAUCCAGCAAUGCCGCGUGGGUGAAGAAGGUCUUCGGAUCGUAAAGCCCUUUCGACAGGGACGAUGAUGACGGUACCUGUAGAAGAAGCCCCGGCUAACUUCGUGCCAGCAGCCGCGGUAAUACGAAGGGGGCUAGCGUUGCUCGGAAUUACUGGGCGUAAAGGGCGCGUAGGCGGCUUGGCCAGUCAGGCGUGAAAUUCCUGGGCUUAACCUGGGGACUGCGCUUGAUACUGCCAGGCUCGAGGCCGAGAGAGGGCGGUGGAAUUCCCAGUGUAGAGGUGAAAUUCGUAGAUAUUGGGAAGAACACCGGUGGCGAAGGCGACCACCUGGCUCGGUACUGACGCUGAGGCGCGACAGCGUGGGGAGCAAACA